UACGAGGGGUCCUAGCGUUGUUCGGAAUCACUGGGCGUAAAGCGCACGUAGGCGGAUGUGUCAGUCAGGGGUGAAAUCCCGGAGCUCAACUUCGGAACUGCCUUUGAUACAGCACGUCUUGAGUCCGAUAGAGGUGGGUGGAAUUCCUAGUGUAGAGGUGAAAUUCGUAGAUAUUAGGAAGAACACCGGUGGCGAAGGCGGCCCACUGGAUCGGUACUGACGCUGAGGUGCGAAAGCGUGGGGAGCAAACAGG
Molecule: ribosomal RNA, 253 nt
Filed under: uncultured bacterium
Lineage: Bacteria
Description: partial 16S ribosomal RNA
Rfam family: Bacterial small subunit ribosomal RNA
Source: RNAcentral